RNAcentral lists this ribosomal RNA (531 nucleotides) under uncultured bacterium. Its description in RNAcentral is "bacterial SSU rRNA". It matches the Rfam family "Bacterial small subunit ribosomal RNA", at positions 9 to 535 of the family's 1533-position model. The record is from RNAcentral.
GAGUUUGAUCCUGGCUCAGGAUGAACGCUGGCGGCGUGCUUAACACAUGCAAGUCGAACGGGAAUGCCACGCUGAUGCGAUUUCGGUCAAAUCAUGUGGCAUUCGAGUGGCGGACGGGUGAGUAACGCGUGGGUAACCUGCCUUACACAGGGGGAUAACACCUGGAAACAGGUGCUAAUACCGCAUAAGCGCACAGGGCCGCAUGGCCCGGUGUGAAAAACUCCGGUGGUGUAAGAUGGACCCGCGUCUGAUUAGCUUGUUGGCGGGGUAGGGGCCCACCAAGGCGACGAUCAGUAGCCGGCCUGAGAGGGUGGACGGCCACAUUGGGACUGAGACACGGCCCAAACUCCUACGGGAGGCAGCAGUGGGGGAUAUUGGACAAUGGGGGAAACCCUGAUCCAGCGACGCCGCGUGAGUGAAGAAGUAUUUCGGUAUGUGAAGCUCUGUCAGCAGGGAAGAAAGAAAUGACGGUACCUGACCAAGAAGCCCCGGCUAACUACGUGCCAGCAGCCGCGGUAAUACGUAGGGGGC